UGAGGAAUAUUGGUCAAUGGACGAGAGUCUGAACCAGCCAAAUCGCGUGAAGGAAGACUGCCCUACGGGUUGUAAACUUCUUUUGUACAGGAAUAAAAGACAUUACGUGUAAUGUAUUGCAUGUACUGUACGAAUAAGCAUCGGCUAACUCCGUGCCAGCAGCCGCGGUAAUACGGAGGAUGCGAGCGUUAUCCGGAUUUAUUGGGUUUAAAGGGUGCGCAGGCGGGAUUUUAAGUCAGCGGUGAAAUUUUCAGGCUCAACCUGAACACUGCCGUUGAAACUGGGAUUCUUGAGUAUGGAUGAAGUAGGCGGAAUUCGUUGUGUAGCGGUGACAUGCGUAGAUAUAACGAGGAACUCCGAUUGCGUAGGCAGCUUACUAAGCCAUAACUGACGCUCAAGCACGAAAGCGUGGGGAUCAAACA
This 422-nucleotide ribosomal RNA is filed under the name uncultured bacterium. RNAcentral's name for it is "bacterial SSU rRNA". It matches the Rfam family "Bacterial small subunit ribosomal RNA", at positions 355 to 774 of the family's 1533-position model. The record is from RNAcentral.